RNAcentral lists this ribosomal RNA (349 nucleotides) under Idiomarina fontislapidosi. RNAcentral's name for it is "bacterial SSU rRNA". It matches the Rfam family "Bacterial small subunit ribosomal RNA", at positions 83 to 435 of the family's 1533-position model. The record is from RNAcentral. Lineage: Bacteria; Pseudomonadati; Pseudomonadota; Gammaproteobacteria; Alteromonadales; Idiomarinaceae.
CUUUGCUGACGAGCGGCGGACGGGUGAGUAAUACUUGGGAAUUUGCCUUUAGGCGGGGGACAACCACUGGAAACGGUGGCUAAUACCGCAUAAUGUCUACGGACCAAAGUGGGGGACCUUCGGGCCUCACACCUAAAGAUGAGCCCAAGUGGGAUUAGCUAGUUGGUGAGGUAAAGGCUCACCAAGGCGACGAUCCCUAGCUGUUCUGAGAGGAUGAUCAGCCACACUGGGACUGAGACACGGCCCAGACUCCUACGGGAGGCAGCAGUGGGGAAUAUUGCACAAUGGGCGCAAGCCUGAUGCAGCCAUGCCGCGUGUGUGAAGAAGGCCUUCGGGUUGUAAAGCACUU